GCUGGUGACCAAAAGCCACUCUGCCUGGAACUUCUUCACUCAGGCACUGAAAAAUAAAGAUGAUAUUUCUCCUCCAACUCAUUUCCAUUUUAGCAGUCUUCCAUGGUGUCCAAAUGGAGGUGCAGCUGGUGGAAUCUGGAGGAGAUAUAAAAAAGCCUGGAGAAUCCCUCCGUCUCUCCUGCCAAGGUUCAGGCUUCACCUUCAGCAGCUAUGAGAUGGCCUGGGUGAGACAGGCUCCAGGGAAAGGACUGGAAUGUGUUGCAUGGAUCGAAGAUGAUGGAGAUGACAGCAGCCAAUACUAUGCCAAUUCAGUCAAAGGCCGUUUCACCAUCUCUCGGCGAGAUGCCUCCAGCAUGGUUUAUCUCCAAAUGAACAACUUGAAACUGGAGGACACCGCUGUGUAUUACUGUGCCAGAGACUCACAGUGA
Non-coding RNA from Python bivittatus (Burmese python), 428 nucleotides. NCBI's taxonomy places the organism in Eukaryota, Metazoa, Chordata, Lepidosauria, Squamata, Pythonidae. The record is from the annotation of a RefSeq genome assembly.